This 252-nucleotide ribosomal RNA is filed under the name uncultured bacterium. Its description in RNAcentral is "partial 16S ribosomal RNA". It matches the Rfam family "Bacterial small subunit ribosomal RNA", at positions 1242 to 1500 of the family's 1533-position model. The record is from RNAcentral.
AAGGGACAGCUACACAGCGAUGUGAUGCUAAUCUCCAAACCAAUGUCUCAGUUCGGAUCGGAGUCUGCAACUCGACUCCGUGAAGCUGGAUUCGCUAGUAAUCGCGCAUCAGCCAUGGCGCGGUGAAUACGUUCCCGGGCCUUGUACACACCGCCCGUCAAGCCAUGGGAGCCGGGGGUACCUGAAGUCCGUAACCGCGAGGAUCGGCCUAGGGUAAAACUGGUGACUGGGGCUAAGUCGUAACAAGGUAUC